Molecule: long non-coding RNA, 774 nt
Filed under: Ricinus communis (castor bean)
Lineage: Eukaryota; Viridiplantae; Streptophyta; Magnoliopsida; Malpighiales; Euphorbiaceae
Description: long non-coding RNA (RCOM_LNC003001)
Source: RNAcentral
ACAAUCCAAUUAAAUGGAUUUUUUUAAAGUCCUAAGAAUAAAUAAUAAAUAAAAAAUAUAAUAGAAAAUUUAUUUUAAAGUUUCUAAAUAUAUAUAAGAGUUUCUAAAAAAUUUCAAUGUCCGGCUCGAAACCGUAACCCAUUUUAGAUUUUGAUAUAACUUAUAUUAGAAACUAUGUGCAAGCAAACUAAUUGAAAAUUGUCUUUCUUUAAUUUCCUUUUUUAAGAUAAACAUAUUGUGGAUAAUCCAAACAAUUAACCCUAAUACUAUCGGAAACAAGGAGUAGCAUAUUUGGCAAUGAGAUUAUAAUUUUUUUAAUCUUUUUAUUCUAAAAGUACCAUUUAUACUCUAGAAAGGGGCCUUGUAUCUUGGUCCUUAAACCAUAUUAUAUUGUGGUCCAACUUAAGUACAACAUGUGCGUCAGGGUUCUAAUAUGUGUUUUUUUUUUAAUUUAUGUUCAUUAAAUUUAUAUUAAAUAUUCAUUAAAUAUUAUAUUAAAUGUUUAUUAUUUAAACACUAAAAGUUGAAAAAAUAUUUGUAUUACAAUAUAAAUAUUGUAAUAUAACUUUAGCUUGAUUUUUUUUUACUAACUGCAAGGACAUUUACGUUAUAUCUAUGUUGUAUAUAUCUGUUAGAAUAGAUUAAUAAACAUGAUGUUCAUUAAUGUUGAAUAUCCAUUAACAACCUAAUAAAUAUUAUACCUAUGAAUAAUCAAUGCUUAUGCCAAUUACAAAAAUAUUUUAACAUGCAUCACAAAAACAAUAAAUCAAACUU